AGGCCUAACACAUGCAAGUCGAGGGGCAUCAGAUCGAAAGCUUGCUUUUGAUGCUCGCGACCGGCGCACGGGUGAGUAAUGCGUAUCCAACCUUCCCUAUAGUAGAGAAUAGCCCGGCGAAAGUCGGAUUAAUGCUCUAUGUUGUAUUUAGAAGACAUCUGAAGAAUACCAAAGGUUUACCGCUAUAGGAUGGGGAUGCGUCUGAUUAGGUAGUAGGCGGGGUAACGGCCCACCUAGCCGACGAUCAGUAGGGGUUCUGAGAGGAAGGUCCCCCACAUUGGAACUGAGACACGGUCCAAACUCCUACGGGAGGCAGCAGUGAGGAAUAUUGGUCAAUGGACGGAAGUCUGAACCAGCCAAGUCGCGUGCGGGAUGAAGGCCCUCCGGGUCGUAAACCGCUUUAGCCGGGGAGUAACGUGCGGGUCGUGACCCGCAGUGAGAGUACCCGGAGAAUAAGCAUCGGCUAACUCCGUGCCCAGCAGCCGCGGUAAUACGGAGGAUGCGAGCGUUAUCCGGAUUUAUUGGGUUUAAAGGGUGCGCAGGCGGCCUGUCAAGUCAGCGGUCAAAUUUCGGCGCUCAACGCCGUACCGCCGUUGAAACUGGCAGUCUCGAGUGCGUGGGAGGAUGGCGGAAUGCGCGGUGUAGCGGUGAAAUGCAUAGAUAUCGCGCAGAACCCCGAUUGCGAAGGCAGCUGUCCAUCACGCCACUGACGCUCAUGCACGAAAGCGUGGGUAUCGAACAGGAUUAGAUACCCUGGUAGUCCACGCGGUAAACGAUGAUAACUAGUUAUCCGGCUAAAUUGGUAGCUGGGUGACCGAGCGAAAGCGUUAAGUUAUCCACCUGGGGAGUACGCCGGCAACGGUGAAACUCAAAGGAAUUGACGGGGGCCCGCACAAGCGGAGGAACAUGUGGUUUAAUUCGAUGAUACGCGAGGAACCUUACCCGGGCUCAAACGCAUCGCGCUACACCCUGAAAGGGGUGGUUCUUCGGACGCGAUGCGAGGUGCUGCAUGGUUGUCGUCAGCUCGUGCCGUGAGGUGUCGGCUUAAGUGCCAUAACGAGCGCAACCCCCAUCUUCAGUUGCCACCGGGUUAAGCCGGGCACUCUGGAGAGACUGCCGGCGCAAGCUGUGAGGAAGGCGGGGAUGACGUCAAAUCAGCACGGCCCUUACGUCCGGGGCGACACAUGUGUUACAAUGGCGGGGCACAGCGGGAAGCCAGGCGGCGACGCCGAGCUGAUCCCGAAAACCCGUCUCAGUUCGGAUCGGAGUCUGCAACCCGACUCCGUGAAGCUGGACUCGCUAGUAAUCGCGCAUCAGCCAUGGCGCGGUGAAUACGUUCCCGG
Molecule: ribosomal RNA, 1343 nt
Filed under: uncultured rumen bacterium
Lineage: Bacteria
Description: bacterial SSU rRNA
Rfam family: Bacterial small subunit ribosomal RNA
Source: RNAcentral